GAAAUCCGGGCAUGGCCUUGUUUGGUGUGUCUGGCUCAGAGUUUCUCAUGAAAAUGGUGUCGGCAGGGGCUGCAGUCUUCUUCUGGCUUGACUUGGGGAUGAUCUACUUUCAGACUCGCUUCCGUGGCUGUUGGGCCGCUCAGGUCCUCUCCAGCUCUUGGCCAGAGAUGUCCAUUCCUUGCCACGUGGGCGGCUAUCCACCUGGCUGCUAGCUUCUCCCAGAGUCGUGAGGUUUCCAACAGAAAGAGGAUGAGAGAGAGAGAGACAGCUAGACCUAGGCUACCUUCGUUUUGUUACCUGGCCUUAGAAAAGAUGUGCCACCAUUUUUUUUGCCAUAUUCAGUUGUUAGAUAUGAGUCAGUAGGUCCAGCCCAGCCUCAGGGGAAGGGCAUUACUCAAGGACCCAAAUCCUGGGCGGAGAGUUCAUGGGGAGCCUUCGAGCACAGACAGGAUGAGAUGGCCAAGGAAGAAACCCUCUGCACUCUCUGCUGUCUCAACCAGCGGUCCAUCGACUAGCACCAUCUGACCUGUUGAGGGCUCGAUCGAAAUGUAGAAUCUCAGGCCCCAUCCCACCCAGACCUACUGAAUUUGAGUCUGCAUUUCACAGGGUCCAGAGUUUCCUUGUGUGCAUCUCAGAGUCGGAAGGGUUGUAGUCUACAGGAUCUUCACACAUCGAAUCUGAACAGAAACCAACUUUAAACUGAUCAUCACACGUGAGCAUCCUUACCUCGGAGCAGACGGUGAUAAGAUUUGAUGGAGAACACCUGCUUUUCUUGGUCAUCUGCUAGAGAAAAAUCUGUUUCCUCUUGCCGUUGGAUUUGCAGCUCAUCAGAAGGGGCUGUCAGAUUUCUCCUUCUUCCCCCAACCAAGAUGUGGGAGAGUGACGCGUCUGCACGAAGAAAAGGACAACGUGGAGACCUGGGAAAGUGGGACCAUAGCACGCACUAUGGAUCGACAGAGAUUUGAGCUGGAAAACUAUUGGCCUAUAGCAAGGAUGCUAAAAG
RNAcentral lists this long non-coding RNA (1003 nucleotides) under Physeter macrocephalus (sperm whale). RNAcentral describes it as "Physeter catodon (sperm whale) lncRNA (ENSPCTG00005008043.1)". Lineage: Eukaryota; Metazoa; Chordata; Mammalia; Artiodactyla; Physeteridae. The record is from RNAcentral.